This 253-nucleotide ribosomal RNA is filed under the name uncultured bacterium. RNAcentral describes it as "partial 16S ribosomal RNA". It matches the Rfam family "Bacterial small subunit ribosomal RNA", at positions 524 to 776 of the family's 1533-position model. The record is from RNAcentral.
GACAGAGGGGGCAAGCGUUGCUCGGAAUUACUGGGCGUAAAGGGCGCGUAGGCGGGAUGGCAAGUCGGUCGUGAAAUCCCUCGGCUCAACUGAGGUACGUCGAUCGAUACUGCCGUUCUUGAGGGUUGCAGAGGAGACUGGAAUUCCCGGUGUAGCGGUGAAAUGUGUAGAGAUCGGGAGGAACACCGGUGGCGAAGGCGGGUCUCUGGGCAACUCCUGACGCUGAGGCGCGAAAGCGUGGGGAGCAAACAGG